Molecule: long non-coding RNA, 106 nt
Organism: Corvus hawaiiensis (hawaiian crow)
Lineage: Eukaryota; Metazoa; Chordata; Aves; Passeriformes; Corvidae
Exons: 4
Source: RefSeq, a predicted model, not a curated record
UUCCAACCCCCCUGCCAUGGGCAGGGACAUCUUCCACUAGAUCAGGUUGCUCCAAGUCCCAUCCAAACUGACCUUGAAUACUUCCAGAGAUGGGGAGAUGAGAGCU